GGGUUGUGAGGUUAAGCGACUAAGCGUACACGGUGGAUGCCCUGGCAGUCAGAGGCGAUGAAGGACGUGCUAAUCUGCGAUAAGCGUCGGUAAGGUGAUAUGAACCGUUAUAACCGGCGAUUUCCGAAUGGGGAAACCCAGUGUGAUUCGUCACACUAUCAUUAACUGAAUCCAUAGGUUAAUGAGGCGAACCGGGGGAACUGAAACAUCUAAGUACCCCGAGGAAAAGAAAUCAACCGAGAUUCCCCCAGUAGCGGCGAGCGAACGGGGAGCAGCCCAGAGCCUGAAUCAGUGUGUGUGUUAGUGGAAGCGUCUGGAAAGGCGCGCGAUACAGGGUGACAGCCCCGUACACAAAAAUGCACAUGCUGUGAGCUCGAUGAGUAGGGCGGGACACGUGGUAUCCUGUCUGAAUAUGGGGGGACCAUCCUCCAAGGCUAAAUACUCCUGACUGACCGAUAGUGAACCAGUACCGUGAGGGAAAGGCGAAAAGAACCCCGGCGAGGGGAGUGAAAAAGAACCUGAAACCGUGUACGUACAAGCAGUGGGAGCACGCUUAGGCGUGUGACUGCGUACCUUUUGUAUAAUGGGUCAGCGACUUAUAUUCUGUAGCAAGGUUAACCGAAUAGGGGAGCCGAAGGGAAACCGAGUCUUAACUGGGCGUUAAGUUGCAGGGUAUAGACCCGAAACCCGGUGAUCUAGCCAUGGGCAGGUUGAAGGUUGGGUAACACUAACUGGAGGACCGAACCGACUAAUGUUGAAAAAUUAGCGGAUGACUUGUGGCUGGGGGUGAAAGGCCAAUCAAACCGGGAGAUAGCUGGUUCUCCCCGAAAGCUAUUUAGGUAGCGCCUCGUGAAUUCAUCUCCGGGGGUAGAGCACUGUUUCGGCAAGGGGGUCAUCCCGACUUACCAACCCGAUGCAAACUGCGAAUACCGGAGAAUGUUAUCACGGGAGACACACGGCGGGUGCUAACGUCCGUCGUGAAGAGGGAAACAACCCAGACCGCCAGCUAAGGUCCCAAAGUCAUGGUUAAGUGGGAAACGAUGUGGGAAGGCCCAGACAGCCAGGAUGUUGGCUUAGAAGCAGCCAUCAUUUAAAGAAAGCGUAAUAGCUCACUGGUCGAGUCGGCCUGCGCGGAAGAUGUAACGGGGCUAAACCAUGCACCGAAGCUGCGGCAGCGACGCUUAUGCGUUGUUGGGUAGGGGAGCGUUCUGUAAGCCUGUGAAGGUGUGCUGUGAGGCAUGCUGGAGGUAUCAGAAGUGCGAAUGCUGACAUAAGUAACGAUAAAGCGGGUGAAAAGCCCGCUCGCCGGAAGACCAAGGGUUCCUGUCCAACGUUAAUCGGGGCAGGGUGAGUCGACCCCUAAGGCGAGGCCGAAAGGCGUAGUCGAUGGGAAACAGGUUAAUAUUCCUGUACUUGGUGUUACUGCGAAGGGGGGACGGAGAAGGCUAUGUUGGCCGGGCGACGGUUGUCCCGGUUUAAGCGUGUAGGCUGGUUUUCCAGGCAAAUCCGGAAAAUCAAGGCUGAGGCGUGAUGACGAGGCACUACGGUGCUGAAGCAACAAAUGCCCUGCUUCCAGGAAAAGCCUCUAAGCAUCAGGUAACAUCAAAUCGUACCCCAAACCGACACAGGUGGUCAGGUAGAGAAUACCAAGGCGCUUGAGAGAACUCGGGUGAAGGAACUAGGCAAAAUGGUGCCGUAACUUCGGGAGAAGGCACGCUGAUAUGUAGGUGAAGUCCCUCGCGGAUGGAGCUGAAAUCAGUCGAAGAUACCAGCUGGCUGCAACUGUUUAUUAAAAACACAGCACUGUGCAAACACGAAAGUGGACGUAUACGGUGUGACGCCUGCCCGGUGCCGGAAGGUUAAUUGAUGGGGUCAGCGCAAGCGAAGCUCUUGAUCGAAGCCCCGGUAAACGGCGGCCGUAACUAUAACGGUCCUAAGGUAGCGAAAUUCCUUGUCGGGUAAGUUCCGACCUGCACGAAUGGCGUAAUGAUGGCCAGGCUGUCUCCACCCGAGACUCAGUGAAAUUGAACUCGCUGUGAAGAUGCAGUGUACCCGCGGCAAGACGGAAAGACCCCGUGAACCUUUACUAUAGCUUGACACUGAACAUUGAGCCUUGAUGUGUAGGAUAGGUGGGAGGCUUAGAAGUGUGGACGCCAGUCUGCAUGGAGCCGACCUUGAAAUACCACCCUUUAAUGUUUGAUGUUCUAACGUUGACCCGUAAUCCGGGUUGCGGACAGUGUCUGGUGGGUAGUUUGACUGGGGCGGUCUCCUCCUAAAGAGUAACGGAGGAGCACGAAGGUUGGCUAAUCCUGGUCGGACAUCAGGAGGUUAGUGCAAUGGCAUAAGCCAGCUUGACUGCGAGCGUGACGGCGCGAGCAGGUGCGAAAGCAGGUCAUAGUGAUCCGGUGGUUCUGAAUGGAAGGGCCAUCGCUCAACGGAUAAAAGGUACUCCGGGGAUAACAGGCUGAUACCGCCCAAGAGUUCAUAUCGACGGCGGUGUUUGGCACCUCGAUGUCGGCUCAUCACAUCCUGGGGCUGAAGUAGGUCCCAAGGGUAUGGCUGUUCGCCAUUUAAAGUGGUACGCGAGCUGGGUUUAGAACGUCGUGAGACAGUUCGGUCCCUAUCUGCCGUGGGCGCUGGAGAACUGAGGGGGGCUGCUCCUAGUACGAGAGGACCGGAGUGGACGCAUCACUGGUGUUCGGGUUGUCAUGCCAAUGGCACUGCCCGGUAGCUAAAUGCGGAAGAGAUAAGUGCUGAAAGCAUCUAAGCACGAAACUUGCCCCGAGAUGAGUUCUCCCUGACUCCUUGAGAGUCCUGAAGGAACGUUGAAGACGACGACGUUGAUAGGCCGGGUGUGUAAGCGCAGCGAUGCGUUGAGCUAACCGGUACUAAUGAACCGUGAGGCUUA
This 2908-nucleotide ribosomal RNA is filed under the name Escherichia coli. Its description in RNAcentral is "partial 23S ribosomal RNA". It matches the Rfam family "Bacterial large subunit ribosomal RNA". The record is from RNAcentral. Lineage: Bacteria; Pseudomonadati; Pseudomonadota; Gammaproteobacteria; Enterobacterales; Enterobacteriaceae.